CAGAUCUUGUUAAAAUCUAAAAAAAAUACUAAUUCCAAUCAUUUAAAACAAGUGGAGUUUUUUUUGUUCCCUCCCAUUGUCGCCAAGUGCUUCCUCAAAUCUCACACAUGCGGUAUCUUGUCACCAGUACAUUGUCACUUGAACAAUAUAAGCUAAGUAACGAAAUUCAUUUGUCUGUUUCUGCAGGAUUUAUUGCUGAGCUAAACUUUGGACGACCUGUGAAGAUAACUGAACUUCUACUCCACCCAUUAAGAGCCAAUCAAGGAACCAUCAGCAAAAGUUCCUGCUAAUCGGACGCAGUGGGCUCGAUUGUCAAGAUAAGAACUUCAAAUAACCCGUUAAACAGUAACAGUGAAAUGCUGCACCGGAGCACUUAAUGAUGUUCAGUGUAUACAGACAGAAUGAUACGAUGUACUGUAGGGUCAGGGGGUUUAUAUGACAUACGUAUAUACUGGGAACUGUUUUUGCUGUCUGGAUUCUUCAGGUCAGGUUUGAAAGUCAGAGGACCAGCUCAAAAAUUUGGAGAAUUUGUCCUUUUUAUAGAGCUGGACUGGACCACUGUAAUAAAGUUGUGAUGAGACUGAUACCGCUUUCAGGAUGCAGGAUGCAAAAAGCCGAGCUUAGCAUGAAGACGUAAAGGUGCGACAUGUAACAGUUUUACUUUUAAAGAUCAGUUGCAGCGGAUAUCCUCAUAAAGGAAAGUUCAGGACACUGUUGUGGCGACUCUUGAUGUCAUUCUGCUCCCUCCCCAGGUAGUCUCCUGCCCCAUGACCGGAAUCCAUCUCCACUGUUUGGAGCUGUAGCUAAGAAGUGUCUCCUAAUGGGUGGACUUUGAAGCACCCUUGUUUUGCUCUGCAGAAUCAAUGAGCUUGGAGAAGCAGCACAUGAAUCAGUGUCGCAGGUUCCUUUGGGAGUGAGGUCUCCUGGAGUGAACAACAAGGACUAUCGCCACCAGCUGCAGUCCAAGAUGGUGGAGUUGAAGUUUGUCUGCAUGAUCAGAGACUCAACGGAGAGCUAGAUGAACACCAUCGAGUAACCUGGCUGGUCUGCAGGUUUCCUAAUUAGUGGUUUUAAAGCUCAGGGUGGAGGCUCCAGCUGUUAGCAUCUUGGCAGCACCUGACUCUUCCUAACUCCAGGCGAAUCCAACAAUGAGCAAAGACGUCGGGUCAAGGGGGGCCAUACAAACAUCUCACGGUCAUGUUUGUAAUUAUGCAUAACUUUAAGCAGGCUGCAUUGUGUCUGCGUAAAGCGGGUCGGGCCCUACCUGAAAGCGGAGGUUGUGAUCGGGGACGGACGGACUGACGGACGGGCGUGGAGCUGAGUGAGCCGCGGUGAGAGGUUCCAAGCUGCAGCGGGAGCAGAGAGGCGUCGAGUCGGCGGAGCGGCGGAGCGCAGAGCCGCAGUUUAUGCUGGUGGCCCGGGACACUCCCUAUGACCCUCCCCUGCUGCUGCUGCUGCUGCUGCUGCACCGCCUGCAGAGAGGGGCGGACAACACCUACCUACACAACCAACCAAUAUAUCUACCUAUAUAUUAACUGUGUCAUAAAACUAUAUACCUGUUUUGGUGUGACAUAAAAACAGAAAUUGUGUUUUUGUCCCAUAUUGUUGGGUUUAUUUGCUGUGUUAUUUUCAUUUAGACUUUAGGUGCUGAGCUUAGGUGUUGGUUUCUCUGUUGCAGUUUUAUUUAAAAAAUAAAAUAAAAAAAAUCUA
Molecule: long non-coding RNA, 1710 nt
Organism: Stegastes partitus (bicolor damselfish)
Lineage: Eukaryota; Metazoa; Chordata; Actinopteri; Pomacentridae
Exons: 4
Source: RefSeq, a predicted model, not a curated record